Molecule: long non-coding RNA, 833 nt
Filed under: Felis catus (domestic cat)
Lineage: Eukaryota; Metazoa; Chordata; Mammalia; Carnivora; Felidae
Description: lncRNA (ENSFCAG00000050662.1)
Source: RNAcentral
GCGAGCAAGAAAUGUGUUUGGACGUGAGCCAAUGAGCUGCUGCGAUUUUUGCUAGGCAGCCCGUGGCAGGAGGUCACUGAUUCAGGCCCUAUAUGCAGGAACUUGCUGGGGGUUAUCAGGGAAGGCUUCCCGGAAGAGGGAAAGCAAGGUGAGGUUUCGUGGUGGGGGUGAACCAGCCAGAGGAAUGACAAGGGGACAGCAGAAGAGCAGAGAUGUGCAAGUCUGUAGGCUGGCUGGGCCUCAGGACAGGACACUGGGACAAAAACUCAGAGUGGCCAAAGCCCAGGAUGUGCGGACCUAAGGGGAAACAGUCUCCUGCCGCGUCCCCUCGGCAGCCCAGAAGCCUCGGCGGAUGAAGGGCGCUUCUCUGUCUCUUCCUAGUCCCUCUUCCAGGCUUGCUGCAGCCCGAUCACUGGGCACCGCGUGUCCAAAUCCCCUCCUGGAGGACGUAGGUUCUCUGCAUGCAGAAUAUCUCCAAAGAUCUGUCAUCUUUCCUAUUCAUUCUGGAGACCAGAGCAUGAGAUCAGGUCUCUGUGGGAUUCGGGGCUACUAACACGCCUGCUGCUGACGGAGGGCCUACUGUGCGCCAGGUAGUUACAUAUCCGUCCAUCCACUCACACCUUUCAUGGAGCACCUGCCAUGGGCCUCGCCCCGUGCUGAGACCUGGGAAGACAACGGGAAUUGAGACACAUGUGGUCCCCACCCUCACGAGGCUCAUGUGCAGGUGAAGAAGAUGGGGAGUAAAAACGGCUCAAAGGGGCAAACAAGUGACAUCAUGAGACAAUCCGGUACGUGCCAUUUUACAGCCAAGAAAACUGAGGCCCAGGGAGGGG